RNAcentral lists this transfer RNA (72 nucleotides) under Planctomycetota bacterium. RNAcentral describes it as "tRNA-Gly". It matches the Rfam family "tRNA". From Rfam's summary of the family: Transfer RNA (tRNA) molecules are approximately 80 nucleotides in length. Lineage: Bacteria; Pseudomonadati; Planctomycetota. The record is from RNAcentral.
GCGGGUGUAGCUCAGCGGUAGAGCGCGACCUUCCCAUGGUCGAUGUCGAGAGUUCGAUCCUCUUCACCCGCU